This 395-nucleotide ribosomal RNA is filed under the name Turdus migratorius migratorius. RNAcentral describes it as "partial 12S ribosomal RNA". It matches the Rfam family "Bacterial small subunit ribosomal RNA", at positions 794 to 1384 of the family's 1533-position model. The record is from RNAcentral. Lineage: Eukaryota; Metazoa; Chordata; Aves; Passeriformes; Turdidae.
GCCUGGCCCUAAAUCUUGAUGCUCGAUAUUACCUGAGCAUCCGCCCGAGAACUACGAGCACAAACGCUUAAAACUCUAAGGACUUGGCGGUGCUCCAAACCCACCUAGAGGAGCCUGUUCUGUAAUCGAUGAUCCACGAUAUUACCUGACCAUUCCUUGCACGAAGCAGCCUAUAUACCGCCGUCGCCAGCCCACCUACCCUGACAGCCCAACAGUGGACGCAAUAGCCUAACCCGCUAGCAAGACAGGUCAAGGUAUAGCCCACGGAAUGGAAGCAAUGGGCUACAUUUUCUAGACUAGAACAUACGGAUAAGGGUAUGAAACUGCCCUUGGAAGGCGGAUUUAGCAGUAAAGAGAGACAAUUGAGCCCUCUUUAAGCCGGCUCUGGAGCACGU